CUGAAAGCAUCUAAGCGCGAAGCCGUCCGCAAGAUUAGACAUCCCUUGAGGGUCGUCAGAGACUAUGACGUUGAUAGGCGGCAGGUGUAAAGGCAGCAAUGUCAAAGCCGAGCCGUACUAAUUGCCCGAGAGACUUUUCCGA
RNAcentral lists this ribosomal RNA (142 nucleotides) under Paludibacteraceae bacterium. Its description in RNAcentral is "partial 23S ribosomal RNA". It matches the Rfam family "Bacterial large subunit ribosomal RNA", at positions 2771 to 2925 of the family's 2925-position model. Lineage: Bacteria; Pseudomonadati; Bacteroidota; Bacteroidia; Bacteroidales; Paludibacteraceae. The record is from RNAcentral.